GACGAACGCUGGCGGCGUGCUUAACACAUGCAAGUCGAACGGAAAGGCCCCUUCGGGGGUCCUCGAGUGGCGAACAGGUGAGUAACACGUGAGUAACCUGCCCUUGACUUCGGGAUAACUUCAGGAAACUGGGGCUAAUACCGGAUAGGAAUCCUUGCUGCAUGGUGGGGGUUGGAAAGCUUCGGCGGUUUUGGAUGGACUCGCGGCUUAUCAGCUUGUUGGUGGGGUAGUGGCUUACCAAGGCUUUGACGGGUAGCCGGCCUGAGAGGGCGACCGGCCACAUUGGGACUGAGAUACGGCCCAGACUCCUACGGGAGGCAGCAGUGGGGAAUAUUGCACAAUGGGCGGAGGCCUGAUACAGCAACGCCGCGUGCGGGAUGACGGCCUUCGGGUUGUAAACCGCUUUCAGCAGGGGCGAAGCUUGUGGUGACGGUACCUGCAGAAGAAGCACCGGCUAACUACGUG
RNAcentral lists this ribosomal RNA (465 nucleotides) under uncultured bacterium. Its description in RNAcentral is "partial 16S ribosomal RNA". It matches the Rfam family "Bacterial small subunit ribosomal RNA", at positions 28 to 507 of the family's 1533-position model. The record is from RNAcentral.